Molecule: transfer RNA, 69 nt
Filed under: Liquorilactobacillus mali KCTC 3596 = DSM 20444
Lineage: Bacteria; Bacillati; Bacillota; Bacilli; Lactobacillales; Lactobacillaceae
Description: Lactobacillus mali KCTC 3596 = DSM 20444 tRNA-OTHER
Rfam family: tRNA
About the family: Transfer RNA (tRNA) molecules are approximately 80 nucleotides in length. Their secondary structure includes four short double-helical elements and three loops (D, anti-codon, and T loops). Further hydrogen bonds mediate the characteristic L-shaped molecular structure. tRNAs have two regions of fundamental functional importance: the anti-codon, which is responsible for specific mRNA codon recognition, and the 3' end, to which the tRNAs corresponding amino acid is attached (by aminoacyl-tRNA synthetases). tRNAs cope with the degeneracy of the genetic code in two manners: having more than one tRNA (with a specific anti-codon) for a particular amino acid; and 'wobble' base-pairing, i.e. permitting non-standard base-pairing at the 3rd anti-codon position.
Source: RNAcentral
GUGACAUUGGCGUAAUGGUAGCGCACUUGACCUUCACAAGUGAUAUGAGUUCGAUUCUCAUAUGUCACA